This 274-nucleotide ribosomal RNA is filed under the name uncultured bacterium. RNAcentral describes it as "partial 16S ribosomal RNA". It matches the Rfam family "Bacterial small subunit ribosomal RNA", at positions 523 to 796 of the family's 1533-position model. The record is from RNAcentral.
AUACGGAGGGGGCUAGCGUUGUUCGGAAUUACUGGGCGUAAAGCGCACGUAGGCGGACUGAUCAGUUGGGGGUGAAAUCCCAGGGCUCAACCCUGGAACUGCCUCCAAUACUGUCAGUCUUGAGAUUGGAAGAGGUGAGUGGAAUUCCUAGUGUAGAGGUGAAAUUCGUAGAUAUUAGGAGGAACACCAGUGGCGAAGGCGGCUCACUGGUCCGAUACUGACGCUGAGGUGCGAAAGCGUGGGGAGCAAACAGGAUUAGAAACCCUAGUAGUCC